ACCUGGCUGGCUCAGUUGGUGGAGUAUGUGACUCUUGAUCUUGUGGUUGUGAGUUUGAGCCCCGUGUUAGGUU
Mustela putorius furo (domestic ferret) is the source of this 73-nucleotide non-coding RNA. NCBI's taxonomy places the organism in Eukaryota, Metazoa, Chordata, Mammalia, Carnivora, Mustelidae. The record is from Rfam.